RNAcentral lists this long non-coding RNA (612 nucleotides) under Pan troglodytes (chimpanzee). Its description in RNAcentral is "long non-coding RNA NONPTRT002748". Lineage: Eukaryota; Metazoa; Chordata; Mammalia; Primates; Hominidae. The record is from RNAcentral.
GGGGGUGUGGCUUAGGAGGGCCUUAGUAAGGACUUUUCACUCUGCUUUUACCCCGAUAACUGCUGAUUGGAAAGCCUCAUGUCUUCUACAGACAGCACCUAACCUGAUUAUGGCCAUGUGCCCAGGAGGGCCUGGAACCAACUGGGCUGCAGGCAUGGAACAAUCAGGGCUGCAGACAGGGAGGAAAUUAGGCAGGCGGGAGGAAAUCAGGCUUCGGACAUGGAAGAAACAAGACGUGGGGGAAUACAAGGAAGAAACCUGUAUGCACACACAGAAGAAGCAAGGCUGGGAGCACUAGAGCAAUCGGCCUGCAAACUGGAAGACAGCUGAUGGCAGAAAUGGAAAGACUGAGACAGAGGCUAUAAAAGAGAUUCGGCUGCAGGCAUGGAAAACACAAGGUUCUGGGCAUGAGAGAGGAAGGAUGUGGGGGAAACUGGACUCCAGAUACACUGUGCAGAUGAAGUCACCGGCAUGCUGCAGGGAGACAGGGCUCAGCUGGGGGCCUAGGAAAUGGGUGCAGGUGGCAGGCCCAAGCCCCCCACCCAGGCUCCAGCCUUCACCUGGGUCCCACUGGCAGUGCCAGCCACGCGCAUCUUCACAAUGGCAGUGAUC